UUUACCGAGGACCCGAGUUCGAUUCUCGGCUCACGCAGCGUGGGUAGUAUAAUGGUUAUUAUCUCGGUUUCCCAUA
This 76-nucleotide transfer RNA is filed under the name Rhizoctonia solani AG-1 IB. Its description in RNAcentral is "tRNA-Gly". The record is from RNAcentral. Lineage: Eukaryota; Fungi; Basidiomycota; Agaricomycetes; Cantharellales; Ceratobasidiaceae.